GAUGAAGAACGCAGCGAAAUGCGAUAAGUAGUGUGAAUUGCAGAAUUCAGUGAAUCAUCGAAUCUUUGAACGCACAUUGCGCCCUUUGGUAUUCCUUAGGGCAUGCCUGUUCGAGCGUCAUUUAAACCUUCAAGCUAAGCUUGGUGUUGGGUGACUGUCCGCUUCACGGCGGACUCGCCUCAAAAUUAUUGGCGGCCGGUACAUUGGCUUCGAGCGCAGCAGAAACGCGAACUCGGGCCCGUCGUAUUGGCUCCCAGAAGCUAUCUUCACAAUUUUGACCUCGGAUCAGGUAGGGAUACCCGCUGAACUUAAGCAUAUCAAAAGCGGAGGA
This 331-nucleotide unclassified non-coding RNA is filed under the name soil metagenome. RNAcentral's name for it is "partial contains 5.8S ribosomal RNA, internal transcribed spacer 2, and large subunit ribosomal RNA". The stretch from base 1 to 120 matches the Rfam family "5.8S ribosomal RNA", at positions 35 to 154 of the family's 154-position model. The record is from RNAcentral.